GACGAACGCCGGCGGCGUGCUUAACACAUGCAAGUCGAACGGAAAGGCCCUGCUUUUGUGGGGUGCUCGAGUGGCGAACGGGUGAGUAACACGUGAGUAACCUGCCCUUGACUUUGGGAUAACUUCAGGAAACUGGGGCUAAUACCGGAUAGGAGCUCCUGCUGCAUGGUGGGGGUUGGAAAGUUUCGGCGGUUGGGGAUGGACUCGCGGCUUAUCAGCUUGUUGGUGGGGUAGUGGCUUACCAAGGCUUUGACGGGUAGCCGGCCUGAGAGGGUGACCGGCCACAUUGGGACUGAGAUACGGCCCAGACUCCUACGGGAGGCAGCAGUGGGGAAUAUUGCACAAUGGGCGGAAGCCUGAUGCAGCAACGCCGCGUGCGGGAUGACGGCCUUCGGGUUGUAAACCGCUUUCGCCUGUGACGAGGCGUGAGUGACGGUAAUGGGUAAAGAAGCACCGGCUAACUACGUG
Molecule: ribosomal RNA, 468 nt
Filed under: uncultured bacterium
Lineage: Bacteria
Description: partial 16S ribosomal RNA
Rfam family: Bacterial small subunit ribosomal RNA
Source: RNAcentral